UCCUGUGCAAUCUGAAUGCAGCCUGUUCGGUUGACACUGCCGCGGCUCACCUGAGGCACCACUGGCUUUCAGUGGACAUCCAUGUUCUGAUGUGACUGUUCAGAAGUUAGCAGAGAAGUUGCUCAAUGUUUUCCAAGUACCUGCUUUGAAUUCAGCACUAAAUAACAAGCUGAGGUCUGCUGCGCUGCCAUUUUUGGUGAGGUUUCAAACGGCCUAUUUCUGUGCGAUGAUGAAUGUUAAUAAUUGCUGUAAGUAUGCUAUUAGUCAAAAUGAAGCAGAAAGAGACCCAAUUAUUGAACUAGACUGCUGUGACUGGAAUCUAUAGCUGAUAUAUUAAAGCCCAACUGUCAUGCUUAAUAAUUAACUCAAGCCGCUGGCAAUUCUGCAAAAGAAAAUGAACAUUAAUAAUGAGUUAACUGAUCAUUAUUUCUUUUUCCCCAUACCAUUGGAACAGCGUCCUGCAGUAUAUCAAUUAAACAGUACGAUAAUUUGACAUCAUAUGAACUCUCUUUUCACGUGUACUUUCCUACCUCCUCCUUUCCCAACACCACUUCUAUGUAAUUACUGCUUUUACCAAAAUCUCCAGUUGCUGCCCUUGUCUGUGUAAGUGUUGAAGGAACCAUUACAGGAUGCAAACAUUACCUAAAAUGGCUCUGUUUUCACCUGAACCAAGAGGAAUGAUCCACAUUCAGAUAUAUGUCUCGUUAAGAGCACUUCCUGUGCCUUCAGUCUCCUCAUUCUCUAGGCUGCUUAGCAAAGGAUGGUGAUAGCAGAAAUAAACACCCUAAUGAAGUGAUCCAUGCAUUACAACAUAUGGGCGCCUCCCCAGUUAACCUCCCAGUGAUUACUCCAUCAGGUCUGAAGUGGCUGCUGAUGGGCAGUCCCAGCAGUGAGCUCCUACGGAAUAAACUGGUGGAUGAGGCUCAGUUGGGCUCCUCUCUCAACAGGGGUGAGCAGCAGCCAGCGCUCUGCUGGGGAAGGCACCCCCCCAUGCUGAAGGAAAACCCCAGCUUUGGUGGAGUGGCUCCAUGACCAUGGUCUUCCCAAAGUGUUUCAGAAGCAAGCUGUCCUUUUUCAGUGAUAAAUGUUCUUGCAGGAGGAGGGACAGGCUGCGGUUUGACAUUGCCUGCAGUCCCAUGCUGCAGCUACCUCAAGGGAGUCAUUUCAGUUGGACUUAUCUCCCUCCUCUGGUUGAGCUCUGCCAGCCUCACCUUGCCCUUGCCAAAGUCACCGCCUGGGUUCUGAACUUCCUGAUCUUUGCAAGGGAGUCUGAGCAACAGCAGGACCAUUGCACAAGUUGAGAGUGUUCUCUGAAGUUACUGCAAAGGUGAUGAUUCCCUAGUCUGGGCCCAGGCAAAGCAAGGCUGGAUGCAGAUGGCAGAGGAGAACUGCCCUCCGAAUUAUUCAGAGUUUGGCACCCACCAGAGACCUCGAGGAACCCAAGUACAAGUCUGUACUCCAGGAACCAUUGCCAAGGAGAUCAUUACUCAUUAACUCUGGGAAAUACCAGAGACACCCGAAGCAUUCAAUUUUUAAUGCUGUGGAGGAAGAUGUGGGCACCAGGACAGAGCUCCCACUGGAAGAGUGUUUCUGUGCUUCUGAAACAGUCUCCGUGUUCCUUGGCUGUGGGUUUCCUGUCUAUCUUGUCCUGUGUGGUGGAAAACAAGGCUUGGAAGCAUGAGGAGUGUGAAGCUGCUAAUGCAGAAGGGUGCAGCAGCUUUAUGUCAGGACCAGCCUAUGAAACACAGAGCUGAGUGACCUGGAAAGCCCUAGAUGUGGCUAACUGAAGCCAGCAUCCAAAACCCUGUCCCCACAGUGAUUGCUAUGCUGUCCUCACAGAAACAGUCUCUUGCUGUGAGUGAAAGAGGAGCUUGCCUGCUUUUCUCACCAUGCUUGGUUACAGCUGGGCUUGCAGCUCUCUCUUUGAAGCACGGUGUUGGUUUUGACUGACCACUAAGCAUCACUUAAACGAUAUCUUUAAAAUUACAGUUAUCUCAGAUUUCAAGUGGCUGAUACGCUGGAUUAGUUGUUGUUACGUGCCAACAUUUGAUAGCUUGUAUGGGAAUUUGGAAGAGCAACUAGGGAUAUACUCUCAGCCCCAUUGUAGUGUUGGAGUAAAUGGGCUCUUGAUAAUUUUUCCAAGUGAAUAAAAGUGGGAGGAGAAGGCGCUUGCCAAGAGGAAUAGUUAGCAAUUAAUGAAAAAUAGCCUUGCUCUUUGUAGGCUUCACAGAUGUGAGGAUGGGACAAACAUGUUUCUGGUCCUGAUUCAGCAGGUUCAUGAGGGUCACACAAUUCACAGCACAAAGCACUGGCCUGACCUGCAGCGAGCAGUCCACUGGAGAGCCAUGGAGCUGCAGGGAAGGCUUUGAUCUCUGCGGGCGCCUGCCAGUUGGCCACUGCUGUGUCAGAAAUGCCUGUGCUGCUGGUGAGGAAUGGGAAUGUGAUAAAGAAGAACUUCAGAGCAUGCCGUAUGCAAAGCCUCAGCUUUCUCCUGCCUCCAGAAGCCUAAGCAGCUCCAGAACCAGCUGCGUGGUAAAACUGUGGCUGCCUCACUCCCCCAGACAGCAGAUGCCUCCAUAUAGCAUACGAAGAAACAAGUGAAACCAAGCCUAAAGACCCUCAGUCAAGUUGUAUUAAAUCUUUUGUAGCCACAAAACAUUUCCGCUAGCUGCAGGAACAAAGUAAGGAAACACAUGUAAUUUAUACGGCUGUGCUAGUGCCAGAGGCUGCUUCAGCUGCCUGUGGUGACAGUGGUGGCCGUGUCCUUUAGUAUUGCCCAGGAUGGAGGCCAGCUUUCAAGGACAGCCACCAUGUACUCAACCUGCAGCAAGAACAACGUGGGAAGAGGAGAGUGCCCAGCCGGAAUUUUGCAGAGAGGCACAGGGACAAACACCCUGUGUGCUCAAAGCACGUUUAAAAUGCUUGUGCUGUUCAGUCAGUCAUGCAGGAUUUCCCUAAGGAGCUGAGCAGUAGGUGCAAAAUGAAGUCCAAGAGGCUGCAGGUCUAAUGAGGUCCUACCACCCCGCACAGAGCUGGAGCCUGAAUGCAAGAAAAGAGAUCAAAAGGGACUGGCUCCCCACUCUGGGUGCUGGCAGACGGCUCACAGGCCAGUGAGCCGGUAUGGAUAAGCUUCAUCUGUACUUCUGCUGAAGGCAGCAAAGAGAAUAAGGCUUAGAGCUGCCCUGGCAUUUCCACUGCAUUCAUCACUGCUGUGCUGGGAGCACAAACAGGAUCUCGGGCGAGUCCUUGUUUCCCUCUUCUCGACAUUGGGAGCAGAAAGAAGAAAUAUACCAUUUUCCUUGGCUUCCUUUUGGACUAUCUUCCUGAAAGCAAAAAACCUGUGAAUAUUCAUCACUUUUAGUUUAAUUCAUAGUGCAUUCUCAGAUGGAAGGCUCAAGUAAUUAGCAGGUCCGCUGUUCUGGGAUUUGACAGCAUUGCAACAUCCCCAACUAGAAGCCUGUCAAAGAGCCCUCUGACAAAAGCUUUGUUGUGGUCCAUGUUACAUCUACAACAUCACUGAAAUAUAACCUAGCUGUUGUGACUAGAGAGGUGCACUGAGUCAGUGCCUUGCAUAAGCUGAAGCAUCGCUUUAGCAUUUGAAGGUAAAGGUCUACACAAAAUGAAAAGACAACACGAGCUCAGGCUUCCACAGGGUUUUAAGCUCUUGGUACUAAGGAUGCAUUUACAUCUCAAGCAGACUCCUGGUAACUGCGGACAAACUUGACUCUAUUCACAGCUCUCACCCACUCCUCAAGCCCACGCACGCUUCCCGCACAGCGCCUUGCGCACAGAUAUGUCUCAUUAAGAAGUGAGUUGAUUAUCUUUUCCCUUAAAUAACA
Long non-coding RNA from Pezoporus occidentalis (night parrot), 3839 nucleotides. RefSeq lists it as uncharacterized. Lineage: Eukaryota; Metazoa; Chordata; Aves; Psittaciformes; Psittacidae. The record is from RefSeq and is a predicted model, not a curated record. The transcript is spliced from 7 exons.